RNAcentral lists this ribosomal RNA (465 nucleotides) under uncultured bacterium. RNAcentral describes it as "partial 16S ribosomal RNA". It matches the Rfam family "Bacterial small subunit ribosomal RNA", at positions 338 to 795 of the family's 1533-position model. The record is from RNAcentral.
CCUACGGGAGGCAGCAGUGGGGAAUAUUGCGCAAUGGGCGAAAGCCUGACGCAGCGACGCCGCGUGAGGGAUGAAGGUCUUCGGAUCGUAAACCUCUGUCAGCAGGGAAGAACGGUCACUGUGCUAAUCAGCAGUGAAUUGACGGUACCUGCAAAGGAAGCACCGGCUAACUCCGUGCCAGCAGCCGCGGUAAUACGGAGGGUGCGAGCGUUAAUCGGAAUUACUGGGCGUAAAGCGCUCGUAGGCGGUAUGUCAAGUCAAGGGUGAAAUCCCUGGGCUCAACGUGGGAACUGCCUUUGAAACUGGCAAGCUGGAGUGUGUGAGAGGAUAGUGGAAUUCGAGGUGUAGGAGUGAAAUCCGUAGAUAUCAGGAGGAACAUCAGUGGCGAAGGCGACUAUCUGGGCCAUGACUGACGCUGAGGAGCGAAAGCGUGGGUAGCAAACAGGAUUAGAUACCCGAGUAGUC